RNAcentral lists this ribosomal RNA (497 nucleotides) under uncultured bacterium. Its description in RNAcentral is "partial 16S ribosomal RNA". It matches the Rfam family "Bacterial small subunit ribosomal RNA", at positions 28 to 507 of the family's 1533-position model. The record is from RNAcentral.
GACGAACGCUGGCGGCGUGCCUAAUACAUGCAAGUUGAGCGAUGAAGAUUGGUGCUUGCACCAAUUUGAAGAGCAGCGAACGGGUGAGUAACGCGUGGGGAAUCUGCCUUUGAGCGGGGGACAACAUUUGGAAACGAAUGCUAAUACCGCAUAAUAACUUUAAACAUAAGUUUUAAGUUUGAAAGAUGCAAUUGCAUCACUCAAAGAUGAUCCCGCGUUGUAUUAGCUAGUUGGUGAGGUAAAGGCUCACCAAGGCGAUGAUACAUAGCCGACCUGAGAGGGUGAUCGGCCACAUUGGGACUGAGACACGGCCCAAACUCCUACGGGAGGCAGCAGUAGGGAAUCUUCGGCAAUGGACGAAAGUCUGAACGAGCAACGCCGCGUGAGUGAAGAAGGUUUUCGGAUCGUAAAACUCUGUUGGUAGAGAAGAACGUUGGUGAGAGUGGAAAGCUCAUCAAGUGACGGUAACUAACCAGAAAGGGACGGCUAACUACGUG